GCGCAACCCUUAAGCUUAGUUGCCAUCAUUAAGUUGGGCACUCUAAGUUGACUGCCGGUGACAAACCGGAGGAAGGUGGGGAUGACGUCAAAUCAUCAUGCCCCUUAUGAUUUGGGCUACACACGUGCUACAAUGGACAAUACAAAGGGCAGCGAAACCGCGAGGUCAAGCAAAUCCCAUAAAGUUGUUCUCAGUUCGGAUUGUAGUCUGCAACUCGACUACAUGAAGCUGGAAUCGCUAGUAAUCGUAGAUCAGCAUGCUACGGUGAAUACGUUCCCGGGUCUUGUACACACCGCCCGUCACACCACGAGAGUUUGUAACACCCGAAGCCGGUGGAGUAACCUUUUAGGAGCUAGCCGUCGAAGGUGGGACAAAUGAUUGGGGUGAAGUCGUAACAAGGUAGCCGUAUCGGAAGGUGCGGCUGGAUCACCUCCUUUCUA
This 440-nucleotide ribosomal RNA is filed under the name Staphylococcus aureus. Its description in RNAcentral is "bacterial SSU rRNA". It matches the Rfam family "Bacterial small subunit ribosomal RNA", at positions 1096 to 1533 of the family's 1533-position model. Lineage: Bacteria; Bacillati; Bacillota; Bacilli; Caryophanales; Staphylococcaceae. The record is from RNAcentral.